RNAcentral lists this non-coding RNA (307 nucleotides) under Citrobacter portucalensis. Its description in RNAcentral is "MicL sRNA". It matches the Rfam family "MicL sRNA". Rfam says of the family: mRNA-interfering complementary RNA regulator of Lpp. Lineage: Bacteria; Pseudomonadati; Pseudomonadota; Gammaproteobacteria; Enterobacterales; Enterobacteriaceae. The record is from RNAcentral.
UAUGGCCGGAGCGGGGGUUCGCGCCUCGAAUUUGUCCCUGUUCCUUGAUGCGGGCGUGCAGGAAGUCCACAGUUCUGCCGGAGUAUGGCUGGCUUCACCUAUGCGUUAUCGCAAUUCGGGGUUGUCGAUGUCUUCGGAUACGCAGGCGGAUGAAUAUUCUCGCUAUGCGGUAGACGGGGCGGCGGUUGCUGAAAUGAAGGCAAUCAUUGCGCGCCACCAGGCCAGCUGAUUUUUACCGUUGCAUCAUGUCGCCCAAUAUGAUGCUUGCUCGUACCAGGCCCCUGCAAUUUCAACAGGGGCCUUUUUU